This 300-nucleotide ribosomal RNA is filed under the name uncultured Halostagnicola sp. Its description in RNAcentral is "partial 16S ribosomal RNA". The stretch from base 56 to 300 matches the Rfam family "Bacterial small subunit ribosomal RNA", at positions 550 to 795 of the family's 1533-position model. The record is from RNAcentral. Lineage: Archaea; Methanobacteriati; Methanobacteriota; Halobacteria; Halobacteriales; Natrialbaceae.
GGCGAAUGUGUGAGAGGUCGCGGAGGGAUGACGGGGGGGGGAAGUGUUGUUGGUGAUUACUGGGGGUAAAGGGCGCGUAGGGGGCCUGCUAAGUCGAACGUGAAAUCCCCGAGGUCAACUCGGGAACUGCGUCCGAUACUGGCAGGCUUGAAUCCGGGAGAGGGAUGCGGAAUGCCAGGUGUAGCGGUGAAAUGCGUAGAUAUCUGGAGGAACACCGGUGGCGAAGGCGGCAUCCUGGACCGGCAUUGACGCUGAGGCGCGAAAGCCAGGGGAGCAAACGGGAUUAGUACCCGGGUAGUC